CGGGGCUUAAUGUCUUGUAAUUGGAAUGAUGGGAAUUUAAACCUCUUCCAGAGUAUCAAUUGGAGGGCAAGUCUGGUGCCAGCAGCCGCGGUAAUUCCAGCUCCAAUAGCGUAUAUUAAAAUUGUUGCAGUUAAAAAGCUCGUAGUUGAAUUUCUGCUGCAUUUCAUUUCUCUUUCUGAGUUUGUUUUUGCGGCUUAUUUCGGUUUGAUUUUUUCUUUCCGGAUGAUUACUUUGAGAAAAUUAGAGUGCUCAAAGCAGGCUUUUGCCUUGAAUAGUUUAGCAUGGAAUAAUAAAGUAGGACUUUGGUUCUAUUUUGUUGGUUUUAGGACCGUCGUAAUGAUUAAUAGGGAUGGUCGGGGGCAUCAGUAUUCAGUAGUAAGAGGUGAAAUUCUUUGAUUUACUGAAGACUAACUGCUGCGAAAGCGUUUGCCAAGGACAUCUUCAUUAAUCAAGAAC
RNAcentral lists this ribosomal RNA (456 nucleotides) under Theileria orientalis. Its description in RNAcentral is "SSU rRNA". It matches the Rfam family "Eukaryotic small subunit ribosomal RNA", at positions 486 to 984 of the family's 1831-position model. Lineage: Eukaryota; Apicomplexa; Aconoidasida; Piroplasmida; Theileriidae. The record is from RNAcentral.